UCGCUGUGAUGACUUCUUAGGACACCUUUGGAUUCAAACAUGAAAACAAAUCAUUGAAAAUCUGAGCUGC
Molecule: small nucleolar RNA, 70 nt
Organism: Mugil cephalus (flathead mullet)
Lineage: Eukaryota; Metazoa; Chordata; Actinopteri; Mugiliformes; Mugilidae
Product: small nucleolar RNA SNORD58
Exons: 1
Source: RefSeq, a predicted model, not a curated record